This 249-nucleotide ribosomal RNA is filed under the name uncultured bacterium. Its description in RNAcentral is "partial 16S ribosomal RNA". It matches the Rfam family "Bacterial small subunit ribosomal RNA", at positions 796 to 1041 of the family's 1533-position model. The record is from RNAcentral.
CACGCUGUAAACGAUGGGUACUAGGAUUGGUGGGAUUUGACCCCUGCCGAUCCGUAGCUAACGCGUUAAGUACCCCGCCUGGGAAGUACGGUCGCAAGAUUAAAACUCAAAGGAAUUGACGGGGGCCCGCACAAGCGGUGGAUCAUGUGGUUUAAUUCGAAGCAACGCGAAAAACCUUACCUGGGUUUGACAUCCUUUGACAUCCGUAGAAAUACGGCUUUCGUAGCAAUACGACAAAGAGACAGGUGC